Molecule: ribosomal RNA, 486 nt
Filed under: uncultured bacterium
Lineage: Bacteria
Description: bacterial SSU rRNA
Rfam family: Bacterial small subunit ribosomal RNA
Source: RNAcentral
UGGCUUAGGACGAACGCUGGCGGCGUGCCUAACACAUGCAAGUCGAACGGAGUUGAGGAGCGUUGCUCCUUAACUUAGUGGCGGACGGGUGAGUAACGCGUGAGUAACCUGCCUCUGAGAGGGGAAUAACGUUCUGAAAAGAACGCUAAUACCGCAUGACACAUAUUUGCCGCAUGACAGAUAUGUCAAAGAUUUUAUCGCUCAGAGAUGGACUCGCGUCCGAUUAGUUAGUUGGUGAGGUAACGGCUCACCAAGACCCGCGAUCGGUAGCCGGACUGAGAGGUUGAACGGCCACAUUGGGACUGAGACACGGCCCAGACUCCUACGGGAGGCAGCAGUGGGGGAUAUUGCGCAAUGGGGGCAACCCUGACGCCAGCAACGCCGCGUGAAGGAUGAAGGUUUUCGGAUUGUAAACUUCUUUUCUCAGGGACGAAAUCUGACGGUACCUGAGGAAUAAGCUCCGGCUAACUACGUGCCAGCAGCAGC